CCUACGGGGGGCUGCAGUAGGGAAUCUUCGGCAAUGGACGGAAGUCUGACCGAGCAACGCCGCGUGAGUGAAGAAGGUUUUCGGAUCGUAAAGCUCUGUUGUAAGAGAAGAACGAGUGUGAGAGUGGAAAGUUCACACUGUGACGGUAUCUUACCAGAAAGGGACGGCUAACUACGUGCCAGCAGCCGCGGUAAUACGUAGGUCCCGAGCGUUGUCCGGAUUUAUUGGGCGUAAAGCGAGCGCAGGCGGUUAGAUAAGUCUGAAGUUAAAGGCUGUGGCUUAACCAUAGUAGGCUUUGGAAACUGUUUAACUUGAGUGCAAGAGGGGAGAGUGGAAUUCCAUGUGUAGCGGUGAAAUGCGUAGAUAUAUGGAGGAACACCGGUGGCGAAAGCGGCUCUCUGGCUUGUAACUGACGCUGAGGCUCGAAAGCGUGGGGAGCAAACAGGAUUAGAUACCCCAGUAGUC
RNAcentral lists this ribosomal RNA (465 nucleotides) under Clostridioides difficile. RNAcentral's name for it is "bacterial SSU rRNA". It matches the Rfam family "Bacterial small subunit ribosomal RNA", at positions 338 to 795 of the family's 1533-position model. Lineage: Bacteria; Bacillati; Bacillota; Clostridia; Peptostreptococcales; Peptostreptococcaceae. The record is from RNAcentral.